GUCCUUUUGUUAAGAAUAUAAGGUCUGGCCUGCCCACUGAUUUUUGAAUGGCUGCAGUAUUUUGACUGUACAAAGGUAGCAUAAUCAUUAGUUUUUUAAUUAAAAGCUGGAAUGAAUGGUUGGAUGAAAAAAUUACUGUCUUUGGUUGAAGUGUUGAAUUUAAUUUUUUAAUUAAAAAGUUUAAAUGUUUAUAAAAGACGAGAAGACCCUAUAGAGUUUAAUAUUUGAUAUUAUUAAUUUUUUGGGAUUUAUUAAUUUAAUUUUAUGAGAAUAUUUGGUUGGGGUGAUUAUUAAAUUAAAUUAACUUUUUUUAUUAAAUACAAUGAUUUUUGUUUAUUUGAUCCAUUAUUUUUGAUUAAAAGAUUAAAUUACCUUAGGGAUAACAGCGUAAUUUUUCUUUAGAGUUCUUAUCGAUAGAGGAGAUUGCGACCUCGAUGUUGGAUUAAAAUUAAUUUAUGGCGGAGAAGCUAUGAAAUUAGGUCUGUUCGACCUUUAAAAUUUUACA
Molecule: ribosomal RNA, 505 nt
Filed under: Oryzaephilus surinamensis (saw-toothed grain beetle)
Lineage: Eukaryota; Metazoa; Arthropoda; Insecta; Coleoptera; Silvanidae
Description: partial 16S ribosomal RNA
Rfam family: Bacterial large subunit ribosomal RNA (bases 379-505)
Source: RNAcentral